Molecule: transfer RNA, 72 nt
Filed under: Dipodomys ordii (Ord's kangaroo rat)
Lineage: Eukaryota; Metazoa; Chordata; Mammalia; Rodentia; Heteromyidae
Rfam family: tRNA
About the family: Transfer RNA (tRNA) molecules are approximately 80 nucleotides in length. Their secondary structure includes four short double-helical elements and three loops (D, anti-codon, and T loops). Further hydrogen bonds mediate the characteristic L-shaped molecular structure. tRNAs have two regions of fundamental functional importance: the anti-codon, which is responsible for specific mRNA codon recognition, and the 3' end, to which the tRNAs corresponding amino acid is attached (by aminoacyl-tRNA synthetases). tRNAs cope with the degeneracy of the genetic code in two manners: having more than one tRNA (with a specific anti-codon) for a particular amino acid; and 'wobble' base-pairing, i.e. permitting non-standard base-pairing at the 3rd anti-codon position.
Source: Rfam by way of RNAcentral
GGGAAGGUGGCUCAACGGUAGAGCGCUUGCCUUGCAAGCAUGAGGCCCUGGGUUGGAUUCCUCAGCACCCCA